This is a long non-coding RNA of Asparagus officinalis (garden asparagus), 1194 nucleotides long. RefSeq lists it as uncharacterized. The transcript is spliced from 2 exons. Lineage: Eukaryota; Viridiplantae; Streptophyta; Magnoliopsida; Asparagales; Asparagaceae. The record is from RefSeq and is a predicted model, not a curated record.
UUUUCCCUUCAGCCAAGCUGACAUUUAUUCUGAUUGCAGGAAUUGGAACAUGGUGAAUUUGUACGAAUACGGACAGUGCACUUGAAUGGAAAACCCCGUGUAUUCACGCUGAAACAGGACCUCCACUAUUGGCCUACUUGGGAAGUAAACUUUGACCCAGAGACCGCAACAUGGCGUCGUCGAGUAAUUAAAGCAUUGGAUUCUGCGAGAGUCUGAUGUUUAUUGCACAUAAGAAAGCUCAUUUUCUUCAUUGGAGAUCCAUUCUUUUGAGGAAUGAUCAUAUGGGGUGAGAACUGCAAGUCAACCCACUAGCUGGAAAUUCAAUUUUAGGAAUAUUUCACGAAACCCCUGAGGUUUGUUGCAGAAAACCCAGUUGAACUUUAUAAAUCAGAGAAAAUCCUCAUGAAUUUUCAAAGGUAUACUAAAGCCCCUUGAACUUUAUAAACGAUGUUGAUUGGUAGAGUAAUAAGUUUGGCUUAUGACAAAUCAACGUUUGUGACUACAAAUUCGACUUUCAUGUGGGAGAAGACGACCACAAUUCGGUUUCAUUUUGAGUAUUCUUAUUCUACAUGCUCACGCCAUUUACGAGGUUUUCCAAUAUUUCUUAAGGGUUUUCUCUAUUUAUAAAGUCUGUGGUUUCUUUUGCAAAUCAUGGGGGUUUUGUGAAAGUUGUCGAUUUUCUAUUUUGCAAAUUCAUUUGUUUUUCUCUUCGAAAUCACAUGGUAGGACCCGUAUACCGUGGUGACAAACUAACAUGCCAUGCCUUCCCAAACCGUGGAGAUUUUGACUCUGAUUUGGAUUCUUUCUGCGACGCUCACAUACUCACAUGGAUCCUUGAUUCCUUUGCUGAGAGAAGAAAUAUAUUCUCUUGUCUGUCUUCUAUUUUAGGCAUAUGAUUGAUGCCUGAUCCAUUUACUUGUUUUUGUAAAUUUAAAAAUACUCUUCGAAGCAAAAACCCAUGUGAAUGGAUGUGUGGGCAUGAGCGUGGUGUGAAGACCUGAAAGACUCUUCAGGAUGUUAAGAUUGUUUACUAAACGCUAGAAAUUUUAUACUGUUUAUUCCUUUAAUGUUUUUCAUUAAUUGCAAUCCAAUAUAGGCAUGAUUACAGAAUAUUAUGUACCUCUUAGCUGUUAGCUGAAAAUCCUUUGAUUAUGUUUGCAAGAUGACAAUUCUUGCUGCUCCCUUCGUAGCGUA